Molecule: long non-coding RNA, 605 nt
Organism: Acanthopagrus latus (yellowfin seabream)
Lineage: Eukaryota; Metazoa; Chordata; Actinopteri; Spariformes; Sparidae
Exons: 3
Source: RefSeq, a predicted model, not a curated record
AACUUUCUCCUCCUCCCUGUGUGACUCAGAGGCUGAUGAACUUAUCAGUGAUCGGUCAAACGUGAGGACUUCCCGUGACCUCCUGAGUAAUUGGUUUAAACCGUAAAUCCGAAAGCGGUGGCGUGCUCAUCUGUAACGACAUCCCCCACAUUCACUGCUCGACGUGGAGACAGAGAGAAGAGGGGAGUGUGGAGCGUAACACACCGAGGCUGGCACGGAGCAGUUUAAAUCAGGAGUCUGGUGGAUUUGGACGGUGGUGAUACAGUGAAGUAGCUUCAGGUUCCUGCUGGGAAGAAAAAGACGAGCACUGCUGCCGUGUGAAUCAGUGACAGCGAACACACCUUCUCACCGCUGUGUGUUUACGCCAGGCCCCGGAUCAGUUUAAUCUGCACUUUAACCACAACUGGGACACUCAUGAUACCACCCACACUGACAGUGUAAGCACACGGCCAGCGGUCAAACUGUUUGGCAUGAAUAAUGGAUCAUGGAGCAGGUAUGCAAAUGCAGAUGUGUGUGUUUUCCCAGUUUAGACCCUUUAAACCUGCGAAUUCCAAAAAAAUGCAGCAUUUCAACAGCCAAAUAUAAUCGUUUACCGUUUAAUAUUA